UUGAUGAGUAGGAGGUUGUUGAUGUCUUUAAGCACCAAGUAUAUCACUCUAGUGAUAUUAUAUUUGUUUCCUCCAUAUUUGCAUGCACAUCUAUUUUUCCACAGGUUCCAACAAGUAAAGAUAUUGAUUUACUGCAAACAUCAAGGCCACAAGGUUCAUACAUGCAAUGUCAAGAGGAGAGAUGAUGAAUAUCGAAGAAGAAAGGUGGCGGAAGCAGCAAACAAGAACAAAACCAAAACAACACAAGGAAAUGACACUCAUGUAACUACUCUACCAAUUAAUUAUCAGCCUGUU
RNAcentral lists this long non-coding RNA (294 nucleotides) under Solanum tuberosum (potato). Its description in RNAcentral is "long non-coding RNA (STUB_LNC000102)". The record is from RNAcentral. Lineage: Eukaryota; Viridiplantae; Streptophyta; Magnoliopsida; Solanales; Solanaceae.